Molecule: transfer RNA, 72 nt
Filed under: Urocitellus parryii (Arctic ground squirrel)
Lineage: Eukaryota; Metazoa; Chordata; Mammalia; Rodentia; Sciuridae
Also listed under: 2 other names
Description: Spermophilus parryii (Arctic ground squirrel) tRNA
Rfam family: tRNA
About the family: Transfer RNA (tRNA) molecules are approximately 80 nucleotides in length. Their secondary structure includes four short double-helical elements and three loops (D, anti-codon, and T loops). Further hydrogen bonds mediate the characteristic L-shaped molecular structure. tRNAs have two regions of fundamental functional importance: the anti-codon, which is responsible for specific mRNA codon recognition, and the 3' end, to which the tRNAs corresponding amino acid is attached (by aminoacyl-tRNA synthetases). tRNAs cope with the degeneracy of the genetic code in two manners: having more than one tRNA (with a specific anti-codon) for a particular amino acid; and 'wobble' base-pairing, i.e. permitting non-standard base-pairing at the 3rd anti-codon position.
Source: Rfam by way of RNAcentral
GGGGAUGUAGCUCAAUGGUAGAGCACUUGCCUAGCAUGCACAAGGGCCUGGGUGCUAUCCCCAGCACCACAA